CCUACGGGGGGCAGCAGUGAGGAAUAUUGGUCAAUGGCCGAGAGGCUGAACCAGCCAAGUCGCGUGAGGGAAGACGGCCCUACGGGUUGUAAACCUCUUUUGUCGGGGAGCAAAGCGAGUCACGUGUGACUCAUUGAGAGUACCCGAAGAAUAAGCAUCGGCUAACUCCGUGCCAGCAGCCGCGGUAAUACGGAGGAUGCGAGCGUUAUCCGGAUUUAUUGGGUUUAAAGGGUGCGCAGGCGGAGGUGCAAGUCAGCGGUAAAAUUUCGGGGCUCAACCCCGUACUGCCGUUGAAACUGCAUCCCUUGAGUGCGCGAGAAGUAUGCGGAAUGCGUGGUGUAGCGGUGAAAUGUAUAGAUAUCACGAAGAACUCCGAUUGCGAAGGCAGCAUACCGGCGCGCAACUGACGCUCAUGCACGAAAGCGUGGGUAUCGAACAGGAUUAGAUACCCGAGUAGUC
Molecule: ribosomal RNA, 459 nt
Filed under: uncultured bacterium
Lineage: Bacteria
Description: partial 16S ribosomal RNA
Rfam family: Bacterial small subunit ribosomal RNA
Source: RNAcentral